RNAcentral lists this ribosomal RNA (458 nucleotides) under uncultured bacterium. RNAcentral's name for it is "bacterial SSU rRNA". It matches the Rfam family "Bacterial small subunit ribosomal RNA", at positions 340 to 786 of the family's 1533-position model. The record is from RNAcentral.
UACGGAAGGCAGCAGUGGGGAAUAUUGCACAAUGGGCGAAAGCCUGAUGCAGCUAUGCCGCGUGUAUGAAGAAGGCCUUAGGGUUGUAAAGUACUUUCAUCGGGGAGGAAAAAAACAAAACUAAUAAUUUUAUUUCUUGACGUUACCCGAAAAAGAAGCACCGGCUAACUCCGUGCCAGCAGCCGCGGUAAUACGGAGGGUGCUAGCGUUAAUCAGAAUUACUGGGCGUAAAGAGCACGUAGGUGGUUUUUUUAAGUCAGAUGUGAAAUCCCUGGGCUUAACCUAGGAACUGCAUUUUGAAACUGAAAUACUAGAGUAUCGUAGAGGGAGGUAGAAUUCUAGGUGUAGCGGUGAAAUGCGUAGAUAUCUGGAGGAAUACCUGUGGCGAAAGCGGCCUCCUAAACGAAUACUGACACUGAGGUGCGAAAAGCGUGGGGAGCAAACAGGGAUUAGAUACC